ACGCUGGCGGCGUGCUUAACACAUGCAAGUCGAACGAGAGCGUAGAGAAAGCUUGCUUUUUCUACAAUCUAGUGGCAAACGGGUGAGUAACGCGUAAACAACCUGCCCUACGGAUGGGGACAACAGCUGGAAACGGCUGCUAAUACCGAAUACGUUCCGAAAGUCGCAUGACUGUCGGAAGAAAGGAUGGCCUCUAUUUAUAAGCUAUCGCCGGAGGAGGGGUUUGCGUCUGAUUAGCUAGUUGGAGGGGUAACGGCCCACCAAGGCGACGAUCAGUAGCCGGUCUGAGAGGAUGAACGGCCACAUUGGAACUGAGACACGGUCCAGACUCCUACGGGAGGCAGCAGUGGGGAAUCUUCCGCAAUGGGCGAAAGCCUGACGGAGCAACGCCGCGUGAGUGAAGACGGCCUUCGGGUUGUAAAGCUCUGUUAUACGGGACGUAUAAUCUUGUGGUUAAUACCCAUGAGAAGUGACGGUACCGUAAGAGAAAGCCACGGCUAACUACGUGCCAGCAGCCGCGGUAAUACGUAGGUGGCAAGCGUUGUCCGGAAUUAUUGGGCGUAAAGGGCGCGCAGGCGGCUUCUUAAGUCUGUCUUAAAAGUGCGGGGCUUAACCCCGUGAUGGGAUGGAAACUGGGAAGCUCAGAGUAUCGGAGAGGAAAGCGGAAUUCCUAGUGUAGCGGUGAAAUGCGUAGAUAUUAGGAGGAACACCAGUGGCGAAAGCGGCUUUUCUGGACGAAAACUGACGCUGAGGCGCGAAAGCCAGGGGAGCGAACGGGAUUAGAUACCCCGGUAGUCCUGGCCGUAAACGAUGGGUACUAGGUGUAGGAGGUAUCGACCCCUUCUGUGCCGGAGUUAACGCAAUAAGUACCCCGCCUGGGGAGUACGGCCGCAAGGUUGAAACUCAAAG
RNAcentral lists this ribosomal RNA (909 nucleotides) under uncultured bacterium. Its description in RNAcentral is "bacterial SSU rRNA". It matches the Rfam family "Bacterial small subunit ribosomal RNA", at positions 33 to 906 of the family's 1533-position model. The record is from RNAcentral.